CCUACGGGAGGCAGCAGUUAGGAAUCUUCCACAAUGGGGGCAACCCUGAUGGAGCAACGCCGCGUGCAGGAUGAAGGCCUUCGGGUCGUAAACUGCUUUUAUGUGCGAGGAAUAUGACGGUAACACAUGAAUAAGGAUCGGCUAACUCCGUGCCAGCAGCCGCGGUCAUACGGAGGAUCCGAGCGUUAUCCGGAGUGACUGGGCGUAAAGAGUUGCGUAGGUGGUAGUUCAAGCAAAUAGUGAAAUCCUGUGGCUCAACCAUAGGGCUAUUAUUUGAACUGGACUACUUGAGAGCAUGAGAGGUAGAUGGAAUUCCUAAUGUAGGGGUAAUAUCCGUAGAUAUUAGGAGGAACACCAAUGGCGUAGGCAGUCUACUGGCAUGUUUCUGACACUGAGGCACGAAAGCGUGGGGAGCGAACCGGAUUAGAUACCCGUGUAGU
Molecule: ribosomal RNA, 440 nt
Filed under: uncultured bacterium
Lineage: Bacteria
Description: bacterial SSU rRNA
Rfam family: Bacterial small subunit ribosomal RNA
Source: RNAcentral